AAUGCUCAGUACGGCGAGUGAGCGGCAACAGCUCAAUUUGAAAUCUGGCGGCCUCUGGGCCGUCCGAGUUGUAAUUUGAAGAGGAUGCUUUUGGCGAGGCGCCUUCCGAGUGCCCUGGAACGGGACGCCACAGAGGGUGAGAGCCCCGUAUGGUUGGACGCCGAGCCUCUGUAAAGCUCCUUCGACGAGUCGAGUAGUUUGGGAAUGCUGCUCAAAAUGGGAGGUAAACCCCUUCUAAAGCUAAAUACUGGCCAGAGACCGAUAGCGCACAAGUAGAGUGAUCGAAAGAUGAAAAGCACUUUGAAAAGAGAGUUAAACAGCACGUGAAAUUGUUGAAAGGGAAGCGCUUGCGACCAGACUUGUGCUCGUCGAAUCAGCCGCCGCUCGUCGGCGGCGCACUUCGGCGGGCUCAGGCCAGCAUCAGUUCGCUGCAGGGGGAGAAAGGCGAUGGGAAUGUGGCUCUUCGGAGUGUUAUAGCCCGCCGCGCAAUACCCCUCGGCGGACUGAGGACCGCGCAUCUGCAAGGAUGCU
Molecule: ribosomal RNA, 531 nt
Filed under: Scedosporium boydii
Lineage: Eukaryota; Fungi; Ascomycota; Sordariomycetes; Microascales; Microascaceae
Description: eukaryotic LSU rRNA
Rfam family: Eukaryotic large subunit ribosomal RNA
Source: RNAcentral